This 497-nucleotide ribosomal RNA is filed under the name uncultured bacterium. RNAcentral describes it as "partial 16S ribosomal RNA". It matches the Rfam family "Bacterial small subunit ribosomal RNA", at positions 28 to 507 of the family's 1533-position model. The record is from RNAcentral.
GAUGAACGCUGGCGGCGUGCCUAAUACAUGCAAGUCGAGCGAACAGACGAGGAGCUUGCUCCUCUGACGUUAGCGGCGGACGGGUGAGUAACACGUGGAUAACCUACCUAUAAGACUGGGAUAACUUCGGGAAACCGGAGCUAAUACCGGAUAAUAUAUUGAACCGCAUGGUUCAAUAGUGAAAGACGGUUUUGCUGUCACUUAUAGAUAGAUCCGCGCCGCAGUAGCUAGUUGGUAAGGUAACGGCUUACCAAGGCGACGAUGCGUAGCCGACCUGAGAGGGUGAUCGGCCACACUGGAACUGAGACACGGUCCAGACUCCUACGGGAGGCAGCAGUAGGGAAUCUUCCGCAAUGGGCGAAAGCCUGACGGAGCAACGCCGCGUGAGUGAUGAAGGUCUUCGGAUCGUAAAACUCUGUUAUUAGGGAAGAACAAAUGUGUAAGUAACUAUGCACGUCUUGACGGUACCUAAUCAGAAAGCCACGGCUAACUACGUG